AAUAGAUACCCAGGUAGUCCUAGCCGUAAACGAUACUCGCUAGGUGUCGGCCACGGUGCGACCGUUGUCGGUGCCGUAGGGAAGCCGUGAAGCGAGCCACCUGGGAAGUACGGCCGCAAGGCUGAAACUUAAAGGAAUUGGCGGGGGAGCACCACAACGGGUGGAGCUUGCGGUUUAAUUGGAUUCAACGCCGGAAAUCUUACCGGGACCGACAGCAACAUGAAGGCCAGGCUGAAGACUUUGCCGGAUUAGCUGAGAGGUGGUGCAUGGCCGUCGUCAGUUCGUACUGUGAAGCAUCCUGUUAAGUCAGGCAACGAGCGAGACCCACGCCCACAGUUGCCAGCGUACUCUCUGGAGUGACGGGUACACUGUGGGGACCGCCGCUGCUAAAGCGGAGGAAGGAAUGGGCAACGGUAGGUCAGUAUGCCCCGAAUAUCCCGGGGCUACACGCGAGCUACAAUGGUUGGUACAAUGGGUAUCUACCCCGAAAGGGGAUGGAAAUCUCCUAAAGCCAAUCUUAGUUCGGAUUGAGGGCUGCAACUCG
RNAcentral lists this ribosomal RNA (544 nucleotides) under uncultured bacterium. RNAcentral describes it as "bacterial SSU rRNA". It matches the Rfam family "Archaeal small subunit ribosomal RNA", at positions 728 to 1270 of the family's 1478-position model. The record is from RNAcentral.